CCUGCGGAGGGAUCAUUACACAACAAAAUAUGAAGGCCUGGCUUUCGCGGCCGGCUGAAGUAUUUUUUUCACCCAUGUCUUUUGCGCACUUGUUGUUUCCUGGGCGGGUUCGCCCGCCACCAGGACCAAACCAUAAACCUUUUUUUCUUAUGCAGUUUCCAUCAGCGUCAGUAAAAACAAUGUAAUUAUUACAACUUUCAACAACGGAUCUCUUGGUUCUGGCAUCGAUGAAGAACGCAGCGAAAUGCGAUACGUAGUGUGAAUUGCAGAAUUCAGUGAAUCAUCGAAUCUUUGAACGCACAUUGCGCCCUUUGGUAUUCCAAAGGGCAUGCCUGUUCGAGCGUCAUUUGUACCUUCAAGCUUUGCUUGGUGUUGGGCGUUUUUUUGUCUCCCUCUUUCUGGGAGACUCGCCUUAAAACGAUUGGCAGCCGGCCUACUGGUUUCGGAGCGCAGCACAUUUUUUGCGCUUUGUAUCAGGAGAAAAGGACGGUACUCCAUCAAGACUCUACAUUUUUCACUUUUGACCUCGGAUCAGGUAGGGAUACCCGCUGAACUUAAGCAUAUCA
Molecule: ribosomal RNA, 566 nt
Filed under: Bipolaris oryzae
Lineage: Eukaryota; Fungi; Ascomycota; Dothideomycetes; Pleosporales; Pleosporaceae
Description: eukaryotic LSU rRNA
Rfam family: 5.8S ribosomal RNA (bases 193-346)
Source: RNAcentral